GUGGGCUAUGGCGAUGUGGCGCCCAAGACGUAUCCGGGCAUGUUUGUCGGAGCUCUAUGUGCAUUGGCCGGUGUAUUGACCAUAGCUUUACCCGUACCUGUUAUUGUUAGCAAC
Molecule: regulatory RNA element, 114 nt
Organism: Drosophila willistoni
Lineage: Eukaryota; Metazoa; Arthropoda; Insecta; Diptera; Drosophilidae
Rfam family: Potassium channel RNA editing signal
About the family: This family represents a group of sequences related to the human potassium channel Kv1.1 hairpin element which directs the efficient modification of an adenosine to inosine by an adenosine deaminase acting on RNA (ADAR). The ADAR modification causes an isoleucine/valine recoding event which lies in the ion-conducting pore of the potassium channel.
Source: Rfam